GAUCCAAUUAUUGUCUACGCAAAAUGAAGUACAUCGCCGUAUGUCUGUUAUUAUGUUUCACUACUGUCGUGCUGAGUCGCCGCACGCCAGAGGAGUGGAAAGAUCGCAAGAUUUACCAGAUUUUGACUGAUAGGUUCUCGGCACCCGGAUCAGCGUCUUGGAUGCCUUGCGGGGAUCUCACUGAAUACUGUAAUGGCAACUUUCAAGGAAUCAUUGAACAGCUGGACUAUAUCCAAGGCAUGGGUUUCAAUGCCAUCUGGAUUUCACCAGUCCCAGAACACACCGAAGGAGAUUACCAUGGUUACUCUGCUAUCGAUUUCUAUAAAGUCAGUUGGCAUUGGGGAACAAGUCAAGACUUCUUUGACUUGAUAGCGGCGGCUCACGCAAGAGAUAUAUGGAUUAUGGUUGACGUAGUGGCAAAUCAUAUGGGGAUUGGUGAUAUAUCUACAUACAACCCAUUCAAUCAACCGGAACACUUUCACGAGUAUUGUACUAUAGACGACUGGUCUAAUGACUGGCAGGUGGAGAAUUGCUGGCUCUUUAACCUUCCCGAUUUGGCUCAAGAAAACCCGUAUGUCGACACCGAGCUGUGCACAUGGAUUGAUUGGUUUAUUAAAACAUUUGACUUUGAUGGUCUGAGAAUAGACACAGUUUCACAUGUUCCGAAAUGGUUCUGGGAGCACUUUUACGCCGCGGCAAACAUAUACGAAGUCGGGGAGGUUUACACCAGCGAUCUAGACAAGAAUACAAUCAUAUAUACCACCCAUGGAUGCCGCGCUCAACUACCCGCUUUACUGGGCUAUGAAGGACGCUUUCAUAUGGGGAGGAACCAUGCGAGAUAUCGCUAAUAUGUACCGUGACGAGAAAUACCGUUUUGGUGAUGGACUACAUCUUUUUGGUAAUUUUGCUGACAACCAUGACCAAGCCAGGUUCCUGUGCGAUAAGGAUUCUUGGACACUGCUCAAGAACUAUAUAAUGCUCGUGCUGACUAUGGAGGGUAUUCCUAUAGUUUACUAUGGUACUGAACAAGGCUAUGACGGAUGUGCUGAUCCUAAUAACAGGGAGUCUCUGUACCCGAAUUUCGAUACUAACCACCAUCUGUAUCUGUUCAUUCAAAGGACCCACCAGUUCCGUGACUUACUCGGAGCGAAUUUCCUGAAUGCCGAUCAAAUUGAAAGAUGGCAGGACGACUCCUUCUUUGCAUUUACAAGGCAUGAUAUGUUAGUUUGUUCAACCAAUAUUGGAGACAAUAACAAUCUGCAGCGAACGAU
Molecule: unclassified non-coding RNA, 1271 nt
Organism: Saccoglossus kowalevskii
Lineage: Eukaryota; Metazoa; Hemichordata; Enteropneusta; Harrimaniidae
Source: RefSeq, a predicted model, not a curated record